RNAcentral lists this ribosomal RNA (235 nucleotides) under uncultured bacterium. Its description in RNAcentral is "partial 16S ribosomal RNA". It matches the Rfam family "Bacterial small subunit ribosomal RNA", at positions 102 to 334 of the family's 1533-position model. The record is from RNAcentral.
CGACGGGUGAGUAACACGUAAGGUAAUGUGCCUUUGGGUGGGGAAUAACUUAGGGAAACUUAAGCUAAUACCGCAUAAUGCGAUAACUUCUUCGGAAGAUUUUGUUAAAGAUUUAUCGCCUGAAGAGCAGCCUGCGGCAGAUUAGCUAGUUGGUAAGGUAACGGCUUACCAAGGCUACGAUCUGUAUCCGACCUGAGAGGGUGGUCGGACACACUGACACUGAAUAACGGGUCAG